This is a long non-coding RNA of Thalassophryne amazonica, 1062 nucleotides long. RefSeq lists it as uncharacterized. The transcript is spliced from 3 exons. The record is from RefSeq and is a predicted model, not a curated record. Lineage: Eukaryota; Metazoa; Chordata; Actinopteri; Batrachoidiformes; Batrachoididae.
UUAAAAGCAUACAUACUCCUAGUGCAGCACAGCACACGUGUCCCUCCUGACUCUACUUGUUUGAAACACUUGCAGAAAACAAUGCAGGUGAACAAAUGCAGACGGCUGGUAUCUGUUUGUGCUCCCAUUUCUGUCUCCCCUCCUGCACCCACAGCUCAGCACCCACCCACCCCACCCCACCCCACCCCCCAUUCCCUCCCUCCACGCCGGUUCUGCUGGAGUUCACAUGAUCAAGCAAGGUACCCAAGUAAUUACCUGGCAUUGUCAAAUAAAGCGGCCACUGAUUCAAAUGAGGAGUGAAAUAUCAAAGAGCAGUUGCUUUUUCUUUUUUUUUUUGCAGCCACUAUUUAUCCAUACAGGAGAGACAGAGAGAUCUGAGAGCUCGGGGAUCUGCAGAGAGGCAACAACAACAUUCAGCCUUCCUUUCUCAGAUAAAUAUCACCAAUAGGAGCAACAGAGCCAAACAUGCCCAAGUUCACCUACAACGACACAUUUAUUUGUAUUACACAUCCCGUUUGGCUAUUAUUUGUGCAUAUCCUUUAUAGCAGGAGUAUUUGCCGUCAUCCUCGAGCCUUUGCUGAUUUUAAUCAUUCAGGUGUUGCUAUGUUACAAUAAUCACAUGCAACGCUUCUCUUCUAAUCACAUCGCAAAGAAAACAAUACCAAAAACUAAAGUGGCACUCACACAUCUGUGCACAGAUGUUGACAGAGUUUGAACUGCUGCCAAACGUAUAUGAUCCCUUUCAUUCUCAUCCAUCAGAUGUGGAUCCAGAUCAGAUGGCUCCCAUACAAUUUUAUUCAUGAUGUGUGCAUCAGUAUUUGAAUUGCUGACAAAUAUUACUCAAAAAGAAACAAGGCGAUCUUGCAUGUGCAUGAAACGCAUAGCCAGAAAUCAAAGGGAUCGUGUUGUGCAACUUUACAUCAAGCGAAUGUCAGUCAUCAGGUGACUUUAAAAUUUUUGGCCAAAAUGCCAUCUUGGCCUAUUUCUUUAAAUUGAAAGGAAAGGAGCUGCUGCACACCCUUCCAUCUUCAGAGAGAAAAGGCUUUUCCCCAUGUUUGACUC